AAUGAACGCUGGCGGCAGGCCUAACACAUGCAAGUCGAACGCCCCGCAAGGGGAGUGGCGCACGGGUGAGUAACGCGUGGGAAUAUGCCCUUCGGUUCGGAAUAACACAGGGAAACUUGUGCUAAUACCGGAUAAGAUCUACGGAUGAAGGAUUCAUCGCCGAAGGAGUAGCCCGCGUAGGAUUAGCUUGUUGGUGAGGU
This 200-nucleotide ribosomal RNA is filed under the name uncultured bacterium. RNAcentral describes it as "partial 16S ribosomal RNA". It matches the Rfam family "Bacterial small subunit ribosomal RNA", at positions 29 to 258 of the family's 1533-position model. The record is from RNAcentral.